UACGUAGGGAGCAAGCGUUGUCCGGAAUCAUUGGGCGUAGAGCGCGCGUAGGCGGCCUCAUAAGUCCGUUGUGAAAGUCGAAGGCUCAACCUUUGAAAGCCGAUGGAUACUGUGAGGCUAGAGUCCGGAAGAGGCGAGUGGAAUUCCUGGUGUAGCGGUGGAAUGCGCAGAUAUCAGGAGGAACACCAAUAGCGAAGGCAGCUCGCUGGGACGGUACUGACGCUAAGGCGCGAAAGCGUGGGGAGCGAACAGG
This 253-nucleotide ribosomal RNA is filed under the name uncultured bacterium. RNAcentral's name for it is "partial 16S ribosomal RNA". It matches the Rfam family "Bacterial small subunit ribosomal RNA", at positions 524 to 776 of the family's 1533-position model. The record is from RNAcentral.